GAGUAACCUGCCCCUGACUCUGGGAUAAGCCUGAGAAAUUGGGUCUAAUACUGGAUAUGAACAUUUACCGCAUGGUGGGUGUUGGAAAGAUUUUUUGGUUGGGGAUGGACUCGCGGCCUAUCAGCUUGUUGGUGAGGUAGUGGCUCACCAAGGCGACGACGGGUAGCCGGCCUGAGAGGGUGACCGGCCACACUGGGACUGAGACACGGCCCAGACUCCUACGGGAGGCAGCAGUGGGGAAUAUUGCACAAUGGGCGAAAGCCUGAUGCAGCGACGCCGCGUGAGGGAUGACGGCCUUCGGGUUGUAAACCUCUUUCAGUAAGGAAGAAGCGAAAGUGACGGUACUUGCAGAAGAAGCGCCGGCUAACUACGUGCCAGCAGCCGCGGUAAUACGUAGGGCGCGAGCGUUAUCCGGAAUUAUUGGGCGUAAAGAGCUCGUAGGCGGUUUGUCGCGUCUGCCGUGAAAGUCCGGGGCUUAACUCCGGAUCUGCGGUGGGUACGGGCAGGCUAGAGUGCAGUAGGGGAGACUGGAAUUCCUGGUGUAGCGGUGAAAUGCGCAGAUAUCAGGAGGAACACCGAUGGCGAAGGCAGGUCUCUGGGCUGUAACUGACGCUGAGGAGCGAAAGCAUGGGUAGCGAACAGGAUUAGAUACCCUGGUAGUCCAUGCCGUAAACGUUGGGCACUAGGUGUGGGGGACAUUCCACGUUUUCCGCGCCGUAGCUAACGCAUUAAGUGCCCCGCCUGGGGAGUACGGCCGCAAGGCUAAAACUCAAAGGAAUUGACGGGGGCCCGCACAAGCGGCGGAGCAUGCGGAUUAAUUCGAUGCAACGCGAAGAACCUUACCAAGGCUUGACAUGGACUAGAUCGCCGCAGAGAUGCGGUUUCCCUUCGGGGCUGGUUCACAGGUGGUGCAUGGUUGUCGUCAGCUCGUGUCGUGAGAUGUUGGGUUAAGUCCCGCAACGAGCGCAACCCUCGUUCUAUGUUGCCAGCACRUUAUGGUGGGGACUCAUAGGAGACUGCCGGGGUCAACUCGGAGGAAGGUGGGGACGACGUCAAAUCAUCAUGCCCCUUAUGUCUUGGGCUUCACGCAUGCUACAAUGGCCGGUACAAAGGGUUGCGAUACUGUGAGGUGGAGCUAAUCCCAAAAAGCCGGUCUCAGUUCGGAUUGGGGUCUGCAACUCGACCCCAUGAAGUCGGAG
RNAcentral lists this ribosomal RNA (1199 nucleotides) under Neomicrococcus lactis. Its description in RNAcentral is "bacterial SSU rRNA". The record is from RNAcentral. Lineage: Bacteria; Bacillati; Actinomycetota; Actinomycetes; Micrococcales; Micrococcaceae.